This 435-nucleotide ribosomal RNA is filed under the name uncultured bacterium. Its description in RNAcentral is "bacterial SSU rRNA". It matches the Rfam family "Bacterial small subunit ribosomal RNA", at positions 60 to 489 of the family's 1533-position model. The record is from RNAcentral.
AGUCGAACGAAGCUCGAAGCUCUGAGAUUUCGGUCAAGGAGCCUAGAUGACUUAGUGGCGAACGGGUGAGUAAUGCGUGAGCAACCUGCCUUUCAGAGGGGGACAACAGCUGGAAACGGCUGCUAAUACCGCAUAACACACCGGGGUGGCAUCACCCUGGUGUCAAAGGAGCAAUCCGCUGAGAGAUGGGCUCACGUCUGAUUAGCUAGUUGGUGAGGUAACGGCUCACCAAGGCGACGAUCAGUAGCCGGUCUGAGAGGAUGAACGGCCACAUUGGGACUGAGAUACGGCCCAGACUCCUACGGGAGGCAGCAGUGGGGAAUAUUGGGCAAUGGGCGAAAGCCUGACCCAGCAACGCCGCGUGAAGGAAGAAGGCUUUCGGGUUGUAAACUUCUUUUAUCAGGGACGAAGGAUGUGACGGUACCUGAUGAAUAA